AUACGUAGGGGGCGAGCGUUGUCCGGAAUGAUUGGGCGUAAAGGGCGCGUAGGCGGCCCGGUAAGUCUGGAGUGAAAGUCCUGUUUUUAAGAUGGGAAUUGCUUUGGAUACUGUCGAGCUUGAGUGCAGGAGAGGUAAGUGGAAUUCCCAGUGUAGCGGUGAAAUGCGUAGAGAUUGGGAGGAACACCAGUGGCGAAGGCGACUUACUGGACUGUAACUGACGCUGAGGCGCGAAAGUGUGGGGAGCAAACAGGAUUAGAUACCCUGGUAGUCCAUGCCGUAAACGGUGGGCGCUAGGUGUAGGGGUCUUCCACGACUUCUGUGCCGUAGCUAACGCAUUAAGCACCCCGCCUGGGGAGUACGGCCGCAAGGCUGAAACUCAAAUGAAUUGACGGGG
RNAcentral lists this ribosomal RNA (397 nucleotides) under uncultured bacterium. RNAcentral's name for it is "partial 16S ribosomal RNA". It matches the Rfam family "Bacterial small subunit ribosomal RNA", at positions 523 to 918 of the family's 1533-position model. The record is from RNAcentral.